AACCAUGGCUCUCACGGGUAACGGAGGAUUAGGGUUCGAUUCCGGAGAGGGAGCCUGAGAAACGGCUACCACAUCUAAGGAAGGCAGCAGGCGCGUAAAUUACCCAAUCCUGACUCAGGGAGGUAGUGACAAGAAAUAACAACCUGGGGGCCUUCAACGGCCUUACGGGAUUGCAAUGAGCGCAAUUUAAACCCCUCAGCGAGGAACAAUUGGAGGGCAAGUCUGGUGCCAGCAGCCGCGGUAAUUCCAGCUCCAAUAGCGUAUAUUAAAGUUGUUGCAGUUAAGAAGCUCGUAGUUGAACUUCUGGCCGUCCCUAGUUUCCCCGGCUCCGGUCGGGCUAGGGGCGGCCAUCCGUCUGCGAACCAUUCUCGGCCUUCACUGUGCUCGGUUUGGGGAGCAGGCACUUUACUUUGAAAAAAUUAGAGUGUUUCAGGCAGGCAAUCGCCCGGAUACGUUAGCAUGGAAUAAUGGAAUAGGACUCCUCUCGUCCGUAUUCGUUGGUUUGGGGACAGGAGUAAUGAUUAAUAGGGAUAGUUGGGGGCAUUAGUACUUAACUGUCAGAGGUGAAAUUCUCGGAUUUGUUAAAGACUAACUUAUGCGAAAGCAUUUGCCAAGGAUGUUUUCA
RNAcentral lists this ribosomal RNA (625 nucleotides) under uncultured ciliate. RNAcentral describes it as "bacterial SSU rRNA". It matches the Rfam family "Eukaryotic small subunit ribosomal RNA", at positions 342 to 972 of the family's 1831-position model. The record is from RNAcentral. Lineage: Eukaryota; Ciliophora.